AAUGGAAUAGGCCAAGAGAAGGAUGGGCUUACAAAAGUGAGAGUCGACGUACUUAUAUCUACACCUAUGGUGUCAUUCUAGUAGUUCACAAAGAAUGGAGGAGGAAGCGCAACUGUCUAUGAAGCAUGUUAUCUUUCCGCCUCUUUCAUCGAGAAGUUCCCUUCCUUUUUUCUGAACUUUCUGAUUGAUAUGCCUAAGAAAAAAAUGUACAAAUUGGAGCUGUCCACCGCUUUUUUCUGUUGAAUAAAGAAGACGAAGACCGGGCCAAAAAGAAGAAGACCAAUUGUCCCUUGGUGGGGCACGCCGAAAAAAAAGAAGACGAAGACCCGCUCUCCGGUCAACGAAACUCAAGGUUAAAUCAUCAAUCACAGCUCUUCCGCUUAGAGUUAGGCGCAGAUUGACAAUAAUGGCUUCUUCCGAUGCUGGUCGCGAGGGUAGGAUGGUGGAUUUUUGCACUCCUUGCUGGAAACCACUUUUCCGUACUCACAAACCAUCUCACGAGUGCAAGACAAUUGAUAAGAUCGGGUCCGACCAUGCACCAGCAGCACCGCACUCUCGAGUUAUGGAGUACGAAGUCUUCCUGAGCUUCAGGGGCCCAGAUACCCGCAGAGGAUUCGCUGAUUAUCUGUACUUCAGCCUGAGAGAUGCGGGCGUCCGUGUCUUUCGGGACAAUGAGGAGCUCCGCUCAGGCGACGAGAUCGGUCCCGGGCUUUGCCAAGGGAUCCUACAGUCAAAGAUCUCCAUUCCCAUCUUCUCCGAAGGGUAUGCGUCCAGCAAAUGGUGCCUCAGGGAGCUUGCUAUUAUCGCCGAAUGUAGGAGGAAAGUGGAGCAAAUCGUGAUGCCCAUCUUCUACGACGUUACGCCCGAUCAAGUUAAGAACCAGACCGGUAAAUACAAAGAAGCACUUAGGCGGCACGCCAACGAGUGUCGUCAGUGCGUUGGGCAGUGGAGGAGCGCUCUAUCGGAGGUAGGGCGUUUGAAGGGUUGGGUAUUAAAGGACACCGCUGACGGGCAUGAGGGACAGUUGAUAAGAUUAGUAGUUACGGCGGUUCUCCGUCAACUGAAGAAACUCUACCUUCCCCUGACCAAAUAUUUGGUCGGAGUUGAAAAACAUGCAAAUGACAUAAUGAACUUGUUAGAUGUCGGAGUUGGAGAUGUGAGAAUCGUGGGGAUUUACGGUAUAAGUGGCACUGGCAAGACAACUCUCGCCAAGCACAUCUAUAAUAAACUUCUGAAUGGUUGUGAAUUUGAAGGCUGUUGCUCCCUUGUUAAUGUCCGAGAGAGAUCCCUGCAGCCCAAUGGCCUGCAACAGUUGCAGAAUAAGUUAGUUGCUGACAUCACGAGGAGUGAAUGCCAAUAUUUUGGUAGUAUUGAUGAAGGAAUCAACAUUUUGCAGUACAGGUUUCGUGAAAGGAAAGUCCUCAUUCUUCUUGACGAUGUUAAUCACCCUAAACAGCUCGAGGCAUUGGUGGCAGAGCGCGAAUGGUUUGGUUUAGGAAGUCGGAUAAUUGUCACAACCACUAAUGGACGCAUAUUAAGAGAAGCAUCUCAAGUAAAUAACUCCUACGAGCUUGGGGGAAUGCGGCAUGAUGAAGCUCUCGAACUGUUCAACAGGCAUGCUUUUAGAAAUGACCCCUCAGUAAACACUUACACCGCUAGACUGAAUAAUUUGGCCAGUGAAAUCGUGAAGGCAACGGGAGGGCUUCCUUUAGCUCUGGAGAUUAUAGGUAGUUUUCUAUAUGGCCGAUGCGAGGAACAAUGGAAAGCAAUGCUUGAGAAGUUGAUAACAAGAGCUGACAAGGAAGUCCUUGAUAAGUUAAGGAUCAGUUACGACGAUUUGGAAGAUGAAUACAAAGAAAUUUUCCUAGAUGUGGCGUGCUUUUUUAUUGGAGAGGAUAUCAGAGUUGUGAUCCACAUGUGGAGAGAUUGCAAUUUUUUCCCUGAAGUUGGGAUUCAAGUGCUCCAACUGAGGUCCCUUAUUAAAAUAGGAGAAGAUAAAAAGCUAUGGAUGCAUGAUUCGCUCCGAGAUCUUGGCAGAGCGAUUGUCCGACAGGAGAACAAGUCAUCAGGAAAGAGAAGAAGGUUGUGGUGCUCUGAAGAAGCAAAAGGCGUCCUCCGAGAACAUAAGGGAACAGAGAACAUCGAAGCUAUCUCGAUACAAAGUGGGCUUUCAUUUUCAAAGGAACAGUUCAGAGAAAUGCCAAAUCUAAGAUACCUUAGAUCGGAAGGUGCUUAUCCUGGGGGAGCAUUUCAACCUCUGUCAGAAUUAAGAUGGCUAAGUUGGCGAAAUGAUCCCUUUUUUUCCAUGGUGCCCUGUUUGCCAUUUCCAAAGUUAAAGAUUCUAGAUAUAUCCAGGAGCAAAGUAACAGAGGACUGGGACGGUUGGAGCUCUUUCAAGAAACUUGCAAUGCUGAAGGUUCUCGAUCUCAGUGGCUGCUGUCGGCUGACAACAACUCCUGACCUUUCCAUGUUUCCCGAUCUGGAAAGACUGAUUCUUGAAGACUGUAAAGAAUUGGCUAAAAUUCACCCAUCAAUGGUGGAUCUCCAGCAUCUGAGUUCCCUAAAUUUGAAGGGUUGUUUCCGAGUAAAGAAACUGCCUGAUCAAUUGGGGUCUAUGAAAAAACUGACAGAACUUAUCAUUGAUGGAACAUCCAUCUGUCGACUUCCAGAUUCCAUUGGCUCUUUAGAGAAUCUGCAGAGGUUGUCAGCAAAUAAUUGCCACUACUUAAAAGCAAUCCCGGACUCAAUUGGGCAGCUCCAUUCAUUAGUCGAGUUGAGCUUUUCAGAUGCAGGAGUGAAAAGUUUGCCCGAUUCUGUUGGGAAUCUGAACAACAUGGAAGUGCUCAACAUCAGUUCCAGUAAUAUAUCUCAUUUUCCAAGUGCAUUAGGGAAGCUGGGGAAGCUUAAAGUGAUAAAUGCAUCAAAGUGUUAUACCUUGAGUGGAGAUAUUCCUGCUGAGCUUGGGAAACUAUGUUCUUUAGAAGUAUUGAAAUUGGAUGAUACAAACAUUAACAGAAUCCCAGAAACUAUUGCUGGGCUUUCUCGUCUUCAGACUCUUGAUUUAACAGCAUGCCGAAGGCUUCACACUAUCCCAGAACUUCCUGUUAGUUUAGUUAACGUACGGGUGGCUUGUCAGUCGGUGGAUGCAAUCACGAAUCUCCCUGAUCUGAUAAGUUUGGAAGAAUUGGUGUUGAUUACGAGCACCCCACAAUGCCACUUCAGUUCCAUUCCUCAUGCUGAAGUACCUCCAAUUCGAGGUUCCACAUAUCUUCAAAGCCUUCCAAAGUUACCUGAAAGUUUGAACAAGCUAAACCUUCUGAACAACCCGCUUCAAGUAUUGCCGGAGCUUUCAAACUUGGAGAACUUAUUGGAGUUAUCUCUUGAAAAAUGCUACAAUCUUACUGAAAUUCCCGGCCUCGUGGAUUUGGUCGUCUUGAAAAGUCUGAAGGUGAGCUGGUGCCCACAUAUUACUAGCCUCGUCGGUCUUGAAAGGUUGAAGUCUCUGAAAAUCCUACAAGUUACCUCCUGCGAGAAACUUAAGAGACUUCCUGACCUGUCCACGUUACAGAAGUUGUCUGUAUUAAAUGUUAGAGGCUGCGAAAGUUUGGUUGCCAUUCAGGGUCUGGAUAGAUUAUAUGCCUUGACUGAAUUAGACAUAGGCAAUUGCAAGUGCAUACAAAGUUUACCUGAUCUGUCGAACUUGACAUUGUUGCAAUCUUUGUCUGCCGAUGGUUGCAAGAAGCUGCAGGGACUCGAAGGGCUUGGUGAAUUGGAAGAAUUGUUAUCAUUACGAAUCUCAGGGUGCAGAGAAAUCAAAUGUCUCCCAAAUCUAUCGAAGCUGAAGAGGUUGAGGCAUCUCGAUAUUGCAGGCUGCAAGGGCAUUUCAGAGGUCUGUGGACUAUUGGAGAUGAAAUUUCUGAAGCGCAUAGUUGUUAACAGAUGUGCAAGCCUUAAAAAAUUUCGGGAGCUCCCGGAAUUAAUGGACAUGAUCUCUUCUGGUCGUGACAACCUAUCAGCAGUAAGCCGAAGUAUUGCUGAACGCCAUAAGCCUUUAACAAUCUCGGGAAAUGCACCUAGACGAGCAAGUUCUGUGUCCAUCAAAGGCCUAACGGUUGCGGUACAAGGAUUCAACGUGAUUGCAAUUUACCCAUGUGACAAUAAUCGUAUCAUAAGAAGUGUACCAGAACACUUGAACUAGGAAACAUUCUGCUUUCAUCGAGCAGCACAUGAGGAGGAAGCAUCAACUUAUUCUACUGCAGUCACACAUUUCCAAGUUUUAAGUGAUUGACUGAUGAAUUUAUUGGGGUUCUGCUCUUUUUGUUCAAAAGAUUGCAAGCAUGGAGAAAGAAUUCUCCAACAAUUAAACUUACUUAGUGAAGAUCAGGAAUUCGGAGAAGGAUUAAUGCCUGCCAUAUUUAAUUCUCGGGAUCGACUUCACCAUAGGAGUUAACAUACUAUGCAGAUCCGAAUUUUUGGAGUCAGUUUUCUGCACCUGUGCUUGAGAUUGACCUGCUGAGUUGCCGAAGAAAACAGAUAAGUUCGGGUGGAACUGUGUGUCGAGCAGAGUUUGCUUUUGGCCUGAUGAAAGAAUGACAGGACCCAUGACAGGCCCUCGAUCUGCUGGAACUCUAGACAGAAGAUGGCACAUAUCCAUCCCCGUCCCAUGGUAGUGCGGCAUAAUGGCGCAAAAUUACGGAUGGGGCAGGUGCUGGUUCCUCCUCCUUUGAUGCCGAUUAUCCUCUUUUUGGUUUACGGGGCAGCUUGGGCCAAGUAACUGCUAUAGCUACCAAUAAAGUACCAGGAGAUGACCUGCUUCUGUCUUGAGGGCUUGGUUGUACCCGCUUCUGUCUUAAGGGCUUGGUUGUGGACUUGGCUUGCAGUUGACAAUGACAUUUCCGGAAUAGGAGUUCAUGCUUGGUACAGAUCCCUGUACUCUGGCUGGACGUCUUCAAGCCUGGAGGUGAUUAACCCAAAACUUUAUUUGGGGUGCUCGAUGACAUUACGUCCCUAGUAACUUAUUCUAGUAGCCAAGCGUUAGGGAGAGCCCAGCACUAGAACCGAAUACACGAGUCACUACACAAUUAGGCAGAUGAACAACGACAAUAAUGUGUCAUAUUAUACCAUAUGGACAACAUUUAUGCAACCAAGCUAAGAAUGGAAAGGGGGAAAUCGAAAUUCAUCUUCCAGUCUUGCUACUUCAAUUCAAGGCACUGCUCCCAGUUGCCAUUUUGAUGUCGUCUUCCUCAUAUCAUGCACUAUCAUCUCACCGCCAUCACAGUCGAAGACAACCUUGCCAUCCCAAGAGCAUAUCAUUGCCAAGCACCCUGACGGAACUAAUAUCUUCCUCAACGAGAUUGUAAACAACUUACUCCAGGAUGUACCCACACCAUAUUCCUUCAUCAUCCAUGGCCCAAAACCAUCCUCCCGAAAAAGUUAGGGCUGUAAAUUCAAAUGGCCGUCAAUAAUUCCUACUCCCAUCCCAUGAAACUUAUGAGCCGCCAAUCUACUUUGGGCAUUGGGAUCACCUCCAUGAAUUUCUCCUUAGCCAUAUCCAAUGAAACAAUGGAAUCGCCAUCACUCCGAGGUUCAUGCUUUCCCAACCAAUGUAGAGCCCCAUCAGAUAUACCGUGUCGCUCUGUCAGAGGAAAACAUUCUGAAAUUACCCUUGGGUUUGUGGUUGAUCCUUCUCCAAACAUUUGACUUCAGAGAGUGAAAAUCUCCAUUACAGUUUCCAUCGAACCACCAAAAAAAUGAGUAACGGUUCCCACCAAACCUUCAAGAAUAUCAGUCACAGUUUCCAUCAAACUGCCAACUGCCUUUGAAGGAAACCAAUCUUACUAACUUGUAAUUAUUAGUUUCAUUAGUACCCAAGCCCAUAGAGGUAUUGAACCAUACGAUGACGUCCAAGGGGAUUGAAACUGGGCCACGGCAGCUUCCUCAAUUCCCCAGUGGAGGGGUUCCACAAAGCAAUGGAAUCCUGACAGUCGACAACACAAACUAAGCAUACCAAUCCAUCACAUGAGGCUAUAAUGGUAGGUUUAUUCUGCAAGCAGCUGACGGAUCCUGAAGAUACAAUAUUCCCUUACCAGCGGCAUUAUCCUCAAAUAUUUCAUAGCUUAUGGACUGAAUCGGAUUGUUUUUCAGGAUUCGCUGAUGAGAAGCUGAUCCUUUGACAGUGAUCGCUCCAGAUGCAACUUGGCAAACUGUGAAUUUGAAUCAGCGCAUGCCACUACUUGCAAGUUCUCUCUAACUGCAACAGCGGCCUCGCGGGCAACCGUGAAAAUAUAUUAGUCAGAAUGUCCUCAUUCAAAUUCUCCAAAGCUCUGGUUUGAACUCCCUGCUAAAGUGGAGGAAGAAAUUCUAGAAACUAACAGCGGUACGAUACAAGUUAUCAAAUUUAAUCUCGAUGCGAUUGCUUCAUAUACUUUCAUUUACAAAUGUAGGAGGGGCAAGCAUAAGACAGGAAGAAGCAGGAGGCCUUGACCCGUGAUUAAUGACCAAAUGAUUA
Non-coding RNA from Punica granatum (pomegranate), 6508 nucleotides. The record is from RefSeq and is a predicted model, not a curated record. NCBI's taxonomy places the organism in Eukaryota, Viridiplantae, Streptophyta, Magnoliopsida, Myrtales, Lythraceae.